GCGCCGUUCGAAGAAUCGCUUUUGCAGCUCACGCACAGAGGGUGCAGACUCUCCUCUUAAAGCUGUAGGGAAAGUCCCCGGAGAUGCGGAGAAUGUCCUUGUCCUGUUCACGGAAAGCGACCGUCCAUAAGACAGACGGUAUUUGGACAUGGACAGCAAGAAUGUCUUGCAAAUCGAUUCUUUUUGGUCGACUGCUCCAUCUUGCUGCUCUGCCGCUUAUUCUCGCUCCCAGGACUCGGUGAAAAGUGCUUGGACGCGAAGAUAUGAGCGUUUCUGCACUCGGGUUCCGGGCUGUGGGGUGAGUGUUUGUUGCUCAUAGACAAAGUUAUGCGAUUGUGGGCGCGUGCGCCCGUAAACACAAUGGGGCUUACUCUCGCUCGGCG
This 383-nucleotide RNase MRP RNA is filed under the name Neolentinus lepideus HHB14362 ss-1. RNAcentral describes it as "RNase MRP". It matches the Rfam family "RNase MRP". From Rfam's summary of the family: RNase MRP is an enzymatically active ribonucleoprotein with two distinct roles in eukaryotes. In mitochondria it plays a direct role in the initiation of mitochondrial DNA replication. Lineage: Eukaryota; Fungi; Basidiomycota; Agaricomycetes; Gloeophyllales; Gloeophyllaceae. The record is from Rfam by way of RNAcentral.